RNAcentral lists this transfer RNA (72 nucleotides) under Papilio xuthus (Asian swallowtail). It matches the Rfam family "tRNA". From Rfam's summary of the family: Transfer RNA (tRNA) molecules are approximately 80 nucleotides in length. Their secondary structure includes four short double-helical elements and three loops (D, anti-codon, and T loops). Further hydrogen bonds mediate the characteristic L-shaped molecular structure. tRNAs have two regions of fundamental functional importance: the anti-codon, which is responsible for specific mRNA codon recognition, and the 3' end, to which the tRNAs corresponding amino acid is attached (by aminoacyl-tRNA synthetases). tRNAs cope with the degeneracy of the genetic code in two manners: having more than one tRNA (with a specific anti-codon) for a particular amino acid; and 'wobble' base-pairing, i.e. permitting non-standard base-pairing at the 3rd anti-codon position. The record is from Rfam by way of RNAcentral. Lineage: Eukaryota; Metazoa; Arthropoda; Insecta; Lepidoptera; Papilionidae.
GUGCCUGUGGCUCCGGGGUUAAGCACUUAACUUGUAAUCUACAGGUCAUGGGUUCGAAUCCCAUCAUGUACC